CAUGGCUGGAAUGUGGUCAUGGAUG
This 25-nucleotide microRNA is filed under the name Gallus gallus (chicken). RNAcentral describes it as "gga-miR-7461-3p". The record is from miRBase by way of RNAcentral. Lineage: Eukaryota; Metazoa; Chordata; Aves; Galliformes; Phasianidae.